RNAcentral lists this long non-coding RNA (407 nucleotides) under Homo sapiens (human). RNAcentral describes it as "non-protein coding lnc-U2AF2-5:1". Lineage: Eukaryota; Metazoa; Chordata; Mammalia; Primates; Hominidae. The record is from RNAcentral.
UAAAACAAAAGAAAGAACAAAUAACAAAUGAAAAUAAAUACCCAAAAACCAGUCAAAUGUGAAACUGGUGUCAGGGGUAUGUUCUCCAUGUUGAGCCCCUUCUGUGGAAUAUGACAGUGUCUCUAUUUCGGGUAAAGGAAAGACCAAAAUAACUUUCCAAGAUGAAAAGCUAAGAGUGCUGAUCUCAUCACAGACAUAGCCAGCUCUUCAGUUCAGACCACCUGGAAACCCUCCCCAUGUCUUUUCAGAACAAUGUCCUAAGAACCAUAGGGGAAGUGGCCAUAAAAACCAUCUUUCCUUUGCAGACUGGGGUGGGGACUCUGGCCAAUGCCAUUCUGUUCUUCCAUAAUAUCUUUCCCAUCUUGACUGAGCAUCAAAUGAGGCCCACACACAAGAUUCUCACCCAC